Molecule: ribosomal RNA, 270 nt
Filed under: uncultured archaeon
Lineage: Archaea
Description: partial 16S ribosomal RNA
Rfam family: Archaeal small subunit ribosomal RNA
Source: RNAcentral
CAGCACCUCAAGUGGUCAGGAUGAUUAUUGGGCCUAAAGCAUCCGUAGCCGGCGCUGUAAGUUUUCGGUUAAAUCUGUACGCUCAACGUACAGGCUGCCGGGAAUACUGCAGAGCUAGGGAGUGGGAGAGGUAGACGGUACUCGGUAGGAAGGGGUAAAAUCCUUUGAUCUAUUGAUGACCACCUGUGGCGAAGGCGGUCUACCAGAACACGUCCGACGGUGAGGGAUAAAAGCUGGGGGAGCAAACCGGAUUAGAUACCCGAGUAGUCC